AACGAACGCUGGUGGCAGGCCUAAAACAUGCAAGUCGAACGCCCUAGCAAUAGGGAGUGGCGCACGGGUGAGUAACAUGUGGGAAUAUGCCUUUUGGUACGGAACAACGUUUGGAAACGAACGCUAAUACCGUAUGGUCCCUCCGGGGUAAAGAUUUAUCGCCAAAAGAUUAGCCCGCACUAGAUUAGCUAGUUGGUAAGGUAAUGGCUUACCAAGGCGACGAUCUAUAGCUGUUCUGAGAGGAAGAUCAGCCACACUGGGACUGAGACACGGCCCAGACUCCUACGGGAGGCAGCAGUUAGGAAUAUUGGACAAUGGGCGCAAGCCUGAUCCAGCCAUGCCGCGUGAGUGAUGAAGGCCUUCGGGUUGUAAAGCUCUUUAGCCGACGAAUAUAAUGACUGUAGUCGGAGAGUAAGCCCCGGCUAACUUCGUGCCAGCAGCCGCAGUAA
Molecule: ribosomal RNA, 449 nt
Filed under: uncultured bacterium
Lineage: Bacteria
Description: partial 16S ribosomal RNA
Rfam family: Bacterial small subunit ribosomal RNA
Source: RNAcentral